Molecule: ribosomal RNA, 450 nt
Filed under: uncultured bacterium
Lineage: Bacteria
Description: bacterial SSU rRNA
Rfam family: Bacterial small subunit ribosomal RNA
Source: RNAcentral
AACGAACGCUGGCGGCAUGCCUAACACAUGCAAGUCGAACGAACUCUUCGGAGUUAGUGGCGCACGGGUGCGUAACGCGUGGGAAUCUGCCCUUGGGUACGGAAUAACUCAGAGAAAUUUGUGCUAAUACCGUAUAAUGACUUCGGUCCAAAGAUUUAUCGCCCAAGGAUGAGCCCGCGUAAGAUUAGCUAGUUGGUGGGGUAAAAGCCUACCAAGGCGACGAUCUUUAGCUGGUCUGAGAGGAUGAUCAGCCACACUGGGACUGAGACACGGCCCAGACUCCUACGGGAGGCAGCAGUGGGGAAUAUUGGACAAUGGGCGAAAGCCUGAUCCAGCAAUGCCGCGUGAGUGAUGAAGGCCUUAGGGUUGUAAGCUCUUUUACCCGGGAUGAUAAUGACAGUACCGGGAGGAAUAAGCUCCGGCUAACUCCGUGCCAGCAGCCGCGGUAAU